RNAcentral lists this ribosomal RNA (253 nucleotides) under uncultured bacterium. RNAcentral's name for it is "partial 16S ribosomal RNA". It matches the Rfam family "Bacterial small subunit ribosomal RNA", at positions 524 to 776 of the family's 1533-position model. The record is from RNAcentral.
UACGGGGGGGGCAAGCGUUUUUCGGAAUUACUGGGCGUAAAGGGCUCGUAGGCGGCCAACUAAGUCAAACGUGAAAUCCCUCGGCUUAACCGGGGAACUGCGUCUGAUACUGGAUGGCUUGAGUUUGGGAGAGGGAUGCGGAAUUCCAGGUGUAGCGGUGAAAUGCGUAGAUAUCUGGAGGAACACCGGUGGCGAAGGCGGCAUCCUGGACCAACACUGACGCUGAGGAGCGAAAGCCAGGGGAGCAAACGGG